Molecule: ribosomal RNA, 581 nt
Filed under: Burkholderia sp. RDB-019
Lineage: Bacteria; Pseudomonadati; Pseudomonadota; Betaproteobacteria; Burkholderiales; Burkholderiaceae
Description: bacterial SSU rRNA
Rfam family: Bacterial small subunit ribosomal RNA
Source: RNAcentral
ACGGGUGAGUAAUACAUCGGAACAUGUCCUGUAGUGGGGGAUAGCCCGGCGAAAGCCGGAUUAAUACCGCAUACGAUCUACGGAUGAAAGCGGGGGACCUUCGGGCCUCGCGCUAUAGGGUUGGCCGAUGGCUGAUUAGCUAGUUGGUGGGGUAAAGGCCUACCAAGGCGACGAUCAGUAGCUGGUCUGAGAGGACGACCAGCCACACUGGGACUGAGACACGGCCCAGACUCCUACGGGAGGCAGCAGUGGGGAAUUUUGGACAAUGGGCGAAAGCCUGAUCCAGCAAUGCCGCGUGUGUGAAGAAGGCCUUCGGGUUGUAAAGCACUUUUGUCCGGAAAGAAAUCCUUGGUUCUAAUAUAGCCGGGGGAUGACGGUACCGGAAGAAUAAGCACCGGCUAACUACGUGCCAGCAGCCGCGGUAAUACGUAGGGUGCGAGCGUUAAUCGGAAUUACUGGGCGUAAAGCGUGCGCAGGCGGUUUGCUAAGACCGAUGUGAAAUCCCCGGGCUCAACCUGGGAACUGCAUUGGUGACUGGCAGGCUAGAGUAUGGCAGAGGGGGGUAGAAUUCCACGUGUAGC